CCACUCUGCCGUGCUUGUGCUCGCGCUCGCAGUCUCGCCCUCGUGGCCUCCUCACCCCGCUGCCUUCCCGCGUCGGCGUCGCCGCCCUCCCCCGUGUAAGAACCGCCAUCUGAGCACGCACGCCUCCGCGCUCGUCAACCUCUCCGCUUUGCCUCCCCGGCUCGCAUCCGCCACUCCAGAUCUCGAUGCGGCGUGCGCUCCCCUGACAGACACACCCCCGGCUGCGUGGCGCGGCGUCACCAUGUCCGCCUGCGACGACGACCACGCCUCGCUCCUCAGAUCCCAACCGGCCGGCGCGCCGCUGUCGCCAUCCGGCCCCUCGCCGCGCGGCGGGGCGGCGGGGCACCACCAGCAGCAGCAGCACCACGCCGACGUCGAGGCCGACGAGGCCACCGUCACCGCCUCCCCGAGGCGCGCUGGCGGCGUGCGCGGCCUCCUGCGCCACCUCGAGCGCCGCAUGUCCGCGCGCGGAUCCGGGCCCGGCCGCCGCCCGCACCAGCAGCAUUACCAGCAGCUCGACCGCCCCGUGCUAACCGAGGAGCCGUCGCAGCGGCAGCGGGAGAGGCCGGAGGCAGGGGAGGACGACGAGCUCGGGGACGGCGCGCCGCCCGAGUGGGCGCUGCUGCUCAUCGGCUGCCUCCUCGGCCUCGCCACCGGCAUCUGCGUCGCGGCGUUCAACCGCGGGGUUCAUGUCAUCCAUGAAUGGGCAUGGGCUGGUACUCCCAACGAAGGUGCAGCAUGGCUCCGCCUGCAGAGGCUAGCUGAUACUUGGCACAGGAUAUUACUGAUCCCGGUGACUGGAGGUGUGGUUGUAGGAAUGAUGCAUGGGUUGCUCGAGAUAUUUGAGCAGCUAAAACUUGUGAAAUCAGGGCAGAGGCAAGGAAUCAACUUUCUUGGAGCAAUCUUCCCAACCGUAAAGGCUAUCCAGGCUGCUGUUACUCUAGGGACUGGCUGUUCUCUGGGGCCUGAAGGUCCUAGUGUGGAUAUUGGCAAGUCAUGCGCAAAUGCAUGCUCAGAAAUGAUGGAGAAUAACCGGGAAAGACGCAUUGCCCUCGUUGCUGCUGGUGCUGCUGCUGGCAUCGCAUCAGGCUUCAAUGCAGCUGUUGCUGGGUGCUUCUUUGCCAUUGAAACUGUAUUGAGGCCCCUUAAAGCAGAAAAUUCGCCUCCAUUUACAACUGCAAUGAUAAUAUUGGCAUCUGUUAUAUCAUCUACUGUAUCAAAUGUUUUGCUUGGAGCAAGACCAGCUUUUAUAGUGCCAGCAUAUGAGCUAAAAUCUGCUGCAGAGCUACCCCUGUAUCUCAUCUUAGGAAUGCUCUGUGGCGCAGUCAGUGUGGUAUUUGACCGACUGGUAGCGUGGUUUUCAAGGUUAUUUGGGCGCAUAAAGGAAAAGUGUGAUUUUCCUAUUAUAGUGUACCCUGCUUUGGGUGGGCUGGGGGCAGGCCUCAUAGCUCUGAAAUAUCCAGGGAUUUUAUACUGGGGUUUCACAAAUGUUGAAGAAAUAUUGCAUACUGGGAAAAGUGCUUCUGCUCCUGGUAUCUGGUUGUUAACUCAACUCGCAGCUGCAAAGGUAGUUGCAACCGCCCUCUGCAAGGGAUCUGGCCUCGUGGGAGGGCUAUAUGCUCCAAGCCUGAUGAUUGGGGCUGCUGUUGGAGCUGUAUUUGGAGGCUCAGCUGCUUAUUUAAUAAAUUCAGCUAUACCUGGUAAUGCUGCUGUUGCACAGCCACAGGCCUAUGCUCUGGUUGGAAUGGCUGCUACACUAGCUUCAGUCUGUUCAGUCCCAUUGACUUCAGUGUUGCUUCUCUUUGAGCUGACGAAGGAUUACAGGAUUUUGCUUCCUCUCAUGGGAGCAGUUGGGUUGGCAAUAUGGGUUCCUUCUGUAGUAAACCAACCAAAUGACAAUGAGCCUUCUGGUUUUAGAACACCAAGACGAGGGUAUUCUUCAAUUUCAUCAGAAGAUAGAAAUGGCAGCUCGAAGCGAGCUGAUGGUGCGGAUGACCUCGAACUCAGUAUUAUACAAAGUGAUAUUAAUAAUUAUGGAACUUAUAAUGAAGAAAUGCUUCUGGAUGAUUUGAAGGUCUCCCAGGCCAUGUCAAAGAUUUAUGUCAAAGUGUUACCAUCUGCAACAGUAACAGAAGCUUUUAAGCUAUUGCAUGAUAAUCAGCAAAAUUGUGCCCUUGUUGUGGACCCUGAAGAUUACCUUGAAGGAAUUAUUACAUUAGGGGAUAUUCGGCGCAUAGGAUUUGAAUUACAUGAGGAAAGCUUCAUUGAUGGAGACUACCCCAAGACUGAUGUAUGUUUACAUGAACUCAUCCUCCAUUUCGUCAUGUGUUACUCGAGGUUUUCAGUAUCGGGGGAGUGAACGAGGAUUGUUAACAUGCUUUCCAGAUACUGAUUUGACCACUGCGAAAAAUCUUAUGGAGGCCAGAGGGAUAAAGCAGCUGCCUGUAGUUAAGUGUGGUGUUGGCCAUAGACCUACAGGAAGGCGCAAGCCAAUUGCCCUUCUACAUUAUGAUUCUAUUGGUUGCUGCUUGCGGGAGGAGAUCGAGAACUGGAAGACCAUAUACCAAAGAAUGGCUUGUUAAUAAUACAACUAUGAUGAUAUGAUUAUUCAUUCGAUUGUCAAGGGAGGAAACUGUAAACUGAAUAGCAUACAUAAGAGAAAAGAAGACGCCCCCCUCCUCCUAUAGCAAGUGGGCACUGAAAAACGACAGUGCCCAAUGAUACCACAGAAGCAAGUGAUUACUUCAAGACAUCUCUACGAAAUGCAGAUACACUGAUACAGUUACCAUACAGGCAGUUUAACCUGUAUCGUUUAGAUGCCAUUUACUGUAAUCUUAAGGGAAGCUGCACGGGCAAAGCCUGACAAACUUUGCGAAGAUUUCUUCUGCCGGUUUCAUGUGGUACCCUGCCUGACACGGGAGAGGGGUUCAGUAUGGAUGUGUAGAGUAAGAAGGCGGUACUUUUUACCCUCGUACUGCUUGUAAAUUGUAAGCUGUAGUACAGCCUGGUCUCAUUUCUUUUGCUGUGAAGCAGCAUAAAUGUGCUCCAGUGUGGCCACACGAGAAAAACUGCUUGUGCAGUAGAAUCUUCAAGAUGCAAGAUAAAGAAACGCUUCAAGAUGUA
Panicum hallii is the source of this 3123-nucleotide RNA transcript. It is a transcript of the gene named chloride channel protein CLC-f-like, with no coding region annotated. The record is from RefSeq and is a predicted model, not a curated record. NCBI's taxonomy places the organism in Eukaryota, Viridiplantae, Streptophyta, Magnoliopsida, Poales, Poaceae. The transcript is spliced from 9 exons.